ACGCUCGACACCUACGGCAGCAGUGGGGAAUAUUGCACAAUGGAGGAAACUCUGAUGCAGCGACGCCGCGUGAGGGAAGAAGGUCUUCGGAUUGUAAACCUCUGUUGUCAGGGACGAUGAUGACGGUACCUGACGAGGAAGCCACGGCUAACUACGUGCCAGUAGCCGCCGGUAAUCUGAGCGGGCGUGGCGAAGGCG
RNAcentral lists this ribosomal RNA (198 nucleotides) under uncultured bacterium. RNAcentral's name for it is "partial 16S ribosomal RNA". It matches the Rfam family "Bacterial small subunit ribosomal RNA", at positions 326 to 537 of the family's 1533-position model. The record is from RNAcentral.